Molecule: ribosomal RNA, 509 nt
Filed under: Photobacterium damselae subsp. damselae
Lineage: Bacteria; Pseudomonadati; Pseudomonadota; Gammaproteobacteria; Vibrionales; Vibrionaceae
Description: bacterial SSU rRNA
Rfam family: Bacterial small subunit ribosomal RNA
Source: RNAcentral
AUUACUGGGCGUAAAGCGCAUGCAGGCGGCCUGUUAAGUCAGAUGUGAAAGCCCGGGGCUUAACCUCGGAAUUGCAUUUGAAACUGGCAGGCUAGAGUCUUGUAGAGGGGGGUAGAAUUUCAGGUGUAGCGGUGAAAUGCGUAGAGAUCUGAAGGAAUACCAGUGGCGAAGGCGGCCCCCUGGACAAAGACUGACGCUCAGAUGCGAAAGCGUGGGGAGCAAACAGGAUUAGAUACCCUGGUAGUCCACGCCGUAAACGAUGUCUACUUGGAGGUUGUGGCCUUGAGCCGUGGCUUUCGGAGCUAACGCGUUAAGUAGACCGCCUGGGGAGUACGGUCGCAAGAUUAAAACUCAAAUGAAUUGACGGGGGCCCGCACAAGCGGUGGAGCAUGUGGUUUAAUUCGAUGCAACGCGAAGAACCUUACCUACUCUUGACAUCCAGAGAAGCUUGAAGAGAUUCGAGUGUGCCUUCGGGAACUCUGAGACAGGUGCUGCAUGGCUGUCGUCAG